RNAcentral lists this microRNA precursor (204 nucleotides) under Oryza sativa Japonica Group (Japanese rice). Its description in RNAcentral is "MIR812 microRNA precursor family". It matches the Rfam family "MIR812 microRNA precursor family". Lineage: Eukaryota; Viridiplantae; Streptophyta; Magnoliopsida; Poales; Poaceae. The record is from Rfam by way of RNAcentral.
AAUGUUUGACGCUGUUGACUUUUUAGCACAUGUUUGACCGUUCGUCUUAUUCAAAAAAUUUAAGUAAUUAUUAAUUCUUUUCCUAUCAUUUGAUUCAUUAUUAAAUAUAUUUUUAUGUGGCAUAUAAUUUCCCAUAUUUUAUAAAAGUUUUUGAAUAAGACGAACGGUCAAGCAUGUGUUAAAAAGUCAAUGGUGUCAAACAUU